Aedes albopictus (Asian tiger mosquito) is the source of this 118-nucleotide non-coding RNA. The record is from Rfam. NCBI's taxonomy places the organism in Eukaryota, Metazoa, Arthropoda, Insecta, Diptera, Culicidae.
UGCCCAGCAACUCCUGUCCCUCCCUCCUCGUGGUACCGACCGGAAAUUACGAGCAACCUUAGGGAAGAUCGGGUAACCAACCCCGGUGAGAACUUUGGUCGUAGGCUGACAGGGAAGG